GAUGAACGCUGGCGGCGUGCCUAAUACAUGCCAGUCGAGCGAACGGACGAGAAGCUUGCUUUUCUGAUGUUAGCGGCGGACGGGUGAGUAACACGUGGAUAACCUACCUAUAAGACUGGGAUAACUUCGGGAAACCGGAGCUAAUACCGGAUAAUAUUUUGAACCGCAUGGUUCAAAAGUGAAAGACGGUCUUGCUGUCACUUAUAGAUGGAUCCGCGCUGCAUUAGCUAGUUGGUAAGGUAACGGCUUACCAAGGCAACGAUGCAUAGCCGACCUGAGAGGGUGAUCGGCCACACGGGAACUGAGACACGGUCCAGACUCCGACGGGAGGCAGCAGUAGGGAAUCUUCCGCGAUGGGCGAAAGCCUGACGGAGCAACGCCGCGUGAGUGAUGAAGGUCUUCGGAUCGUAAAACGCUGUUAUUAGGGAAGAACAUAUGUGUAAGUAACUGUGCACAUCUUGACGGUACCGAAUCAGAAAGCCACGGCUAACUCCGUG
This 497-nucleotide ribosomal RNA is filed under the name uncultured bacterium. RNAcentral describes it as "partial 16S ribosomal RNA". It matches the Rfam family "Bacterial small subunit ribosomal RNA", at positions 28 to 507 of the family's 1533-position model. The record is from RNAcentral.